GCAGUCGUGAAUGAGCGGUUAAGGCGAUGAACUAGAAAUCCAUUGGGGUCUCCCCACACAGGUUCGAAUCCUGUCGACUGCG
Non-coding RNA from Ixodes scapularis (black-legged tick), 82 nucleotides. The record is from Rfam. Lineage: Eukaryota; Metazoa; Arthropoda; Arachnida; Ixodida; Ixodidae.